RNAcentral lists this transfer RNA (76 nucleotides) under Gammaproteobacteria bacterium. Its description in RNAcentral is "tRNA-Arg". It matches the Rfam family "tRNA". From Rfam's summary of the family: Transfer RNA (tRNA) molecules are approximately 80 nucleotides in length. The record is from RNAcentral. Lineage: Bacteria; Pseudomonadati; Pseudomonadota; Gammaproteobacteria.
GCGCCGGUAGCUCAACGGAAAGAGCAGGGGUUUCCUAUGCCCAGGGUUGGGGGUUCGAGUCCUCUCCGGCGCGCCA